Acanthosepion pharaonis is the source of this 99-nucleotide non-coding RNA. Lineage: Eukaryota; Metazoa; Mollusca; Cephalopoda; Sepiida; Sepiidae. The record is from the annotation of a GenBank genome assembly.
GUUGAAACACCGCUUUCCAUUUGAUCACUAAAGUUAAGUAACAUUGAGCCUGGCCAGUACCUAGAUGGGUUACCACCUACGAAUAUCAGGUGCUGUAAG